This 501-nucleotide ribosomal RNA is filed under the name uncultured bacterium. Its description in RNAcentral is "partial 16S ribosomal RNA". It matches the Rfam family "Bacterial small subunit ribosomal RNA", at positions 899 to 1397 of the family's 1533-position model. The record is from RNAcentral.
ACUCAAAUGAAUAGACGGGGGCCCGCACAAGCGGUGGAGCAUGUGGUUCAAUUCGAUGCAACGCGAAGAACCUUACCUGGGUUUGAACUGUGAUUGAAGUUUCCAGAGAUGGGAAUGCUUAGCAAUAGGCAAUCACAGAGGUGCUGCAUGGCUGUCGUCAGCUCGUGUCGUGAGAUGUUGGGUUAAGUCCCGCAACGAGCGCAACCCUUGCCUCUAGUUGCUCGGCUGUUAAGGUCAGCACUCUAGAUGGGACUGCCGGUGAUAAACCGGAGGAAGGUGGGGAUGACGUCAAGUCAUCAUGGCCUUUAUGUCCAGGGCUACACACGUGCUACAAUGAGCGGUACAAAGGGUUGCCAAAUCGCAAGGUGGAGCCAAUCCCAUAAAACCGUUCUCAGUUCGGAUUGCAGUCUGCAACUCGACUGCAUGAAGGUGGAAUCGCUAGUAAUCGCGGAUCAGCAUGCCGCGGUGAAUACGUUUCCGGGCCUUGUACACACCGCCCGU